UGGUGGGGGAAAGGUUGGCGAUCAGGAAUACAUAUGUGUAGUUUUUGUUAGAAGCCAUCCAUAGCACACCCGAGGGAUGAAAGGCCUCCAAGUGGGAACUGGAACGAUCAAAUUCUUGCUGAUUAUUAAUUGGGCCCUAAUUUCAGAAAGCAAUGCUGUUUUUACAAAUUGGACCUGACUUUAAAGAACAAAACACAAAAAACAAAAAGAGUAGAAAAUUUUAUGCUAAAAAAGAUUCGCAAUGAAACAAUCAGUAGCACAUUGCAUCUGUUAAGUGUCCCAGCUCCCUGUAAUGGUUAUGUUUCCAACGGUUGUUUCUUUCCAAGAUAAUGGUGUAGGUGUUACACCCCAAUCUUCAUGUCCACAUUCUGCAGGUUCCUUGUCUCAUCAGCUGUCAUAAACUGGUCUGGAGUUUCUGACGACUCCUUGUUCACCAAAUGCACCAUUUCCUGAGACUUGCUGGCCUCUCCGUUGAGUCCACUUGGCUUUCUGUCCUCCACAGCUCCAUUGCCACUGUUGAUCACUAGCUUUUUCUUCUGCCC
RNAcentral lists this long non-coding RNA (542 nucleotides) under Homo sapiens (human). Its description in RNAcentral is "lncAB96.1". The record is from RNAcentral. Lineage: Eukaryota; Metazoa; Chordata; Mammalia; Primates; Hominidae.